UUUUAAUGCGGCCCGGAAAGACCUAUAUGACGAGGUGCCGGUCUUCGGACCGGCUAUGGCAAUAAACGGUCGGUGUAAUAAACCUAUUGGACCCGGGGGCGGUACCCGGCGCCUCCACCAGGAACCGGCGGACCUUCUAUUUGGAAGGCCGGCUGCUGAUGGGGGCGAAAUAGGAUCGACAAGGGCGUAAAGAUCGAACUUUUGCUCGGCAUGAUACCGCCGUUAUCGGGUCACAAGUGUAGUUGCAAACGACAACAACGCUAAGGGUUAUGCUCUCGCUGCCUAAUGGCGGUGCGGGAAACCCGACCUAAGUCCUUAUGGUUAGCACCGUAAGGCGGGGUCCGAAGGCACCUGGCAACAGAAGCCUUC
Molecule: transfer-messenger RNA, 369 nt
Filed under: uncultured Rhizobium sp.
Lineage: Bacteria; Pseudomonadati; Pseudomonadota; Alphaproteobacteria; Hyphomicrobiales; Rhizobiaceae
Description: Alphaproteobacteria transfer-messenger RNA
Rfam family: Alphaproteobacteria transfer-messenger RNA
About the family: Bacterial tmRNA, also known as 10Sa RNA or SsrA, is named for its dual tRNA and mRNA-like properties. Its role is to liberate the mRNA from a stalled ribosome.
Source: RNAcentral